GUCGCAAUACAAUGUGUGUCAAAUCAUCAAUCUGAACAAUGUCUUCAGUUCAUCUCAAACUGAAAGUAGAGAGGAAAUGAUCCAAUGUUGACCGUGAGCCAGUUAUUAAAUUAUGAAAUGAUUCUCUGUUCUACAUUAAGGUCCUAUUUGAAAAAAGCAGGUCUCAUUAUUAGUUGCAGUUAAUCGUACUAUAUAUUUUUCUGCCUCUAGAUUAUUGUUACAGAUGGUCAUAAUAAUACAGUAUAAACUGUAACAAAUAAUCAUGUUUUGUGUGUGUGUGUGAAAAACAUUUGUUUAGAAAAAGAUUUGUUUAGAAAAAGAUUUGUUUAGAAAAAGAUUUUACAUGGACCUUUGGCAGAUAAUAAUAGCUUUAUUAAGAGCUGCUGUAGCCUCAACAUUUCAUACGCCUUUUGGAAAGGAAUUAAAUAGUAGAAAUCAUCAUAGUUUCUGCUUUUUCAAGUUUGGGUUUUUCCCUUUAAAGUAAAUGUGAAAAAGUUGGCAUUAUUCAUGUUCACGCAGGCAUAAUCUCACUGAAAACCACCUGAAAGCUCAUGAGGUGAGAAUGACAGAGUGAGAAACUGUAGUACAAGAGUGCUGCGAGCGGUCGUGUUCAUGCAGGUCUAGUUUUACUAAAAACUUGCUGAUCCAGUUCCAGAGAGACAAACACACCUCUUAAGAUCAGCUUCAGGCAUUUCAGGUUUGCUCUUGGUGCUUUAAGCGAAGCAGACAGUCCCUCAUAAAAUCAUCAUGUGGUCAAGAUAAAACUGCUGAUGAAAGACUGAAAUGUGCUUUAAAAAAAGAUGCCCGAAAAACCCAAAGGAGAGAUCAGCAGAGGAAGUUAAAGCUGGAGGUCAUGUGACACUGUGAUAUUUGUGGAACUCAGUAACUUGAUAAGAUGAUUUAAAAUGUCAAAUAUGGACAUGAAGCUGCAGGGGAGCAUUUUCUUUAAAUGCUCUUUUUAAUCAAUAGGCUAGCUGUGCAAGUUGUGCAAGUCAGACUGUCUCAACCCAGCCACAGCUUCACCUCUUCUAGGUCAGAUGUACGGUGUAUUCUGACAUUUCUGCCACAUCUGACCCACAAAGCACUCAUUUUAGACCCACCUCGUCACUUUUGUCACUUUUAGCUCACACAUUUCCAGAGCUAUGUGGGCCAGGUUUGGCCCACAUGUGCCUGCUGCCUGGCACAUGUGGCCAAACCUGGUUUGUAUGGUUAGUCACUCUGUGACUCAGAAGGAUAAAACAGAAAUGUCGCUGUGGGAAAAAUCACUUUUAAAAAAGUUCUAAUUGAACGUCAGUAAUUUCAUUGGAAAAUACAAAUAGUAAAAUCCGUUUUCAAUGUGGAGUAUUCAAAAGUGACACGUUUGUCUCUAUAUCUCUCUAUAUGGGUCUGUCCCUGAGAGACAGCAGAGAUGACAAAAUGGGGGCAAACACACACACACACACACACACACACACACACACACACACACACACACACACAGUGUUUGUGGUUAAAACUGUUGCCCUGUAGUUUUGAGCUUUGAAUUUUCAAUCAGGAAGUUGCUUCAUGCACCAGACAAAGAGCUAAUUUCUCACAGACUUUAGGCUUUAAACAGCUACAAGAGUUAAGCAAAAUUUUUUUACAUUUUAACUCAUAAUUCAUUAAACUGGGUUAGAGAGACACAGUUUUACUAUGUUUCACUGUUAUGUAGUAUUAGUCACUAUACAAGUUUAGCCUUCCCACAUGACAUGUCAACAUUUUUUUGCUUCUCUAAAGGAAAUAUUUUAUUCAUCUCAAACAAAGUGAAACCCACAUAAUGGAGAGAGGGCCACAGAUUCAGAGAGCCUUUUGUUUAGGCUGACUUACAUAAAAAGUCCAGGGUGUCACAUUUCCUCCUUCAAACAUGUCACACUCUGUGGCAAAUCCCACGCUGUGUGGCC
Molecule: long non-coding RNA, 1919 nt
Organism: Oreochromis aureus
Lineage: Eukaryota; Metazoa; Chordata; Actinopteri; Cichliformes; Cichlidae
Source: Ensembl